This 508-nucleotide ribosomal RNA is filed under the name uncultured bacterium. RNAcentral describes it as "partial 16S ribosomal RNA". It matches the Rfam family "Bacterial small subunit ribosomal RNA", at positions 29 to 523 of the family's 1533-position model. The record is from RNAcentral.
AUUGAACGCCGGCGGCAGGCCUAACACAUGCAAGUCGAGCGGCAGCGGGAAAGUAGCUUGCUACUUUUGCCGGCGAGCGGCGGACGGGUGAGUAAUGCCUGGGGAUCUGCCCAGUCGAGGGGGAUAACUACUGGAAACGGUAGCUAAUACCGCAUACGCCCUACGGGGGAAAGCAGGGGACCUUCGGGCCUUGCGCGAUUGGAUGAACACAGGUGGGAUUAGCUAGUUGGUGAGGUAACGGCUCACCAAGGCGACGAUCCCUAGCUGGUCUGAGAGGAUGAUCAGCCACACUGGAACUGAGACACGGUCCAGACUCCUACGGGAGGCAGCAGUGGGGAAUAUUGCACAAUGGGGGAAACCCUGAUGCAGCCAUGCCGCGUGUGUGAAGAAGGCCUUCGGGUUGUAAAGCACUUUCAGCGAGGAGGAAAGGUCAGUAGCUAAUAUCUGCUGGCUGUGACGUUACUCGCAGAAGAAGCACCGGCUAACUCCGUGCCAGCCGCCGCGGUAA